AUCCUCUGCAGCAAUGCGAUUUGACUCUUGUCUUUGUUGACCGAGUUUAAUAGGAGCUAGUGGAUGGUCAGUUUGGACUAGCCCGAGUGCUAAGCAUUCUUGGGUCUGGGUGCUAAAUUGCCAUUUUAUCAAUUUUUU
This 138-nucleotide unclassified non-coding RNA is filed under the name uncultured Rozellomycota. RNAcentral's name for it is "uncultured Cryptomycota sequence contains ITS2". The record is from RNAcentral. Lineage: Eukaryota; Fungi; Rozellomycota.